GAUGAACGCUGGCGGCGUGCCUAAUACAUGCAAGUCGAGCGAACGGACGAGAAGCUUGCUUUUCUGAUGUUAGCGGCGGGCGGGUGAGUAACACGUGGAUAACCUACCUAUAAGACUGGGAUAACUUCGGGAAACCGGAGCUAAUACCGGAUAAUAUUUUGAACCGCAUGGUUCAAAAGUGAAAGACGGUCUUGCUGUCACUUAUAGAUGGAUCCGCGCUGCAUUAGCGAGUUGGUAAGGUAACGGCUUACCAAGGCAACGAUGCAUAGCCGACUCGAGAGGGUGGUCGGCCACACUGGAACUGAGACACCGUCCAGACUCCUACGGGAGGCCGCCGUAGGGAAUCUUCGGCAAUGGGCGAAAGCCUUACGGAGCACCGCCGCGUGAGUGAUGAAGGUCUUCGGAUCGUAAAACUCUGUUAUUAGGGAAGAACAUAUGUGUAAGUAACUGUGCACAGCUUGACGGUACCUAAUCAGAAAGCCACGGCUAACUACAUG
RNAcentral lists this ribosomal RNA (497 nucleotides) under uncultured bacterium. Its description in RNAcentral is "partial 16S ribosomal RNA". It matches the Rfam family "Bacterial small subunit ribosomal RNA", at positions 28 to 507 of the family's 1533-position model. The record is from RNAcentral.